RNAcentral lists this ribosomal RNA (571 nucleotides) under uncultured bacterium. Its description in RNAcentral is "partial 16S ribosomal RNA". It matches the Rfam family "Bacterial small subunit ribosomal RNA", at positions 355 to 911 of the family's 1533-position model. The record is from RNAcentral.
UGGGGAAUAUUGCACAAUGGGCGCAAGCCUGAUGCAGCCAUGCCGCGUGUGUGAAGAAGGCCUUCGGGUUGUAAAGCACUUUCAGCGAGGAGGAAGGUGGUGAGCUUAAUACGCUCAUCAAUUGACGUUACUCGCAGAAGAAGCACCGGCUAACUCCGUGCCAGCAGCCGCGGUAAUACGGAGGGUGCAAGCGUUAAUCGGAAUUACUGGGCGUAAAGCGCACGCAGGCGGUUUGUUAAGUCAGAUGUGAAAUCCCCGGGCUCAACCUGGGAACUGCAUUUGAAACUGGCAAGCUAGAGUCUCGUAGAGGGGGGUAGAAUUCCAGGUGUAGCGGUGAAAUGCGUAGAGAUCUGGAGGAAUACCGGUGGCGAAGGCGGCCCCCCUGGACGAAGACUGACGCUCAGGUGCGAAAAGGCGUGGGGAGCAAAACAGGAUUAGAUACCCUGGUAGUCCACGCUGUAAAACGAUGUCGAUUUUGGAGGUUGUGCCCCUUGAGGCGUGGNUUCCGGAGCUAACGCGUUAAAUCGACCGCCUGGGGAGUACGGCCNCAAGGUUAAAACUCAAAUGAAUU